GAUUUCUGGCUUGGUGCGCCUGACCCGCCACCGUUAGGUGGUUGUGUGUCGGGUCGUGCCUGCCAUCCUUCUGGAGAACGGGUCUGCUCUUCAUUGAGUGGGUCCGCCAUCCAGAUCUUUUACUUUGAAAAAAUUAGAGUGUUUAAAGCAGGCUUGCGCUAUGAAUACAUUAGCAUGGAAUAAUAAUUUAGGACUUUGGUCUUAUUUUGUUGGUUUCUAGGACUAAAGUAAUGAUUGAUAGGGACAGUUGGGGGUGCUAGUAUUCAGCGGCCAGAGGUGAAAUUCUUGGAUUCGCUGAAGACUAACUUAUGCGAAAGCAUU
This 321-nucleotide ribosomal RNA is filed under the name Cercomonas sp. RNAcentral's name for it is "SSU rRNA". The stretch from base 103 to 321 matches the Rfam family "Eukaryotic small subunit ribosomal RNA", at positions 735 to 955 of the family's 1831-position model. The record is from RNAcentral. Lineage: Eukaryota; Cercozoa; Cercomonadida; Cercomonadidae.